This is a non-coding RNA of Helianthus annuus (common sunflower), 196 nucleotides long. Lineage: Eukaryota; Viridiplantae; Streptophyta; Magnoliopsida; Asterales; Asteraceae. The record is from Rfam.
AUACCUUUCUCGGCCUUUUGGCUAAGAUCAAGUGUAGUAUCUGUUCUUAUCAGUUUAAUAUCUGAUAUGUGGGCCAUCGGUCCACUCGAUAUUAAUCUAAUUUUUUAUGGGGAAAGGUCCAUCACAAUAGCUUGCUAUUGGGGCCGUUGAGCGUUGCCUUGGUGUUGCACUACUACCUUGACCUGGCGCACCCCUC